UUUCCUAAUCAUGCAUCAUAAAAGUUGUACAGCACGAGGGUCAAGAAAUUUCCUCAGUGAUGACAUCAGCCCUGCUAGAUCUCAGGAGCUGUGCUUGCAUGAAAGGGAAAUGAGGAACUCAGGUCUGCUAUCAAUAAUAUCUAUGAUGUCCACUAUGAGACCACAGGACCAGCUGAAACCCGCCAGAACCAAUAUGACCGACUGGAGCUCGCGCAAGGAUUUGCCGGGCCACGGGGUGAUCUUUUGACGUCACCGUCUGAACUUCCGCCCCAAGUUUCAUACUAACUCCCCCUAAAUUUUCACAUGCCACCCAUGAAGAGGCAACUGCACAUGGGCAAGGGACUUUCCAAACAUCCCCGUUCCCUGGCCAAUCACUAAUCUACCCUGAAACACUUUCCUCCAAAUCCUUCUUUUACAAAUAUGGCUUUCAAGCCAGUACAAGGAAGACAGUUUUGAGCCCAUCUCCUGUCACGUUGCUUGGCCGUUUUGCAAUAAACCUUUCUCUCUACAAAAA
Long non-coding RNA from Homo sapiens (human), 514 nucleotides. RefSeq lists it as uncharacterized. Lineage: Eukaryota; Metazoa; Chordata; Mammalia; Primates; Hominidae. The record is from RefSeq and is a predicted model, not a curated record. The transcript has 2 exons.